This 677-nucleotide ribosomal RNA is filed under the name uncultured bacterium. RNAcentral describes it as "bacterial SSU rRNA". It matches the Rfam family "Bacterial small subunit ribosomal RNA", at positions 98 to 794 of the family's 1533-position model. The record is from RNAcentral.
GCGGACGGGUGAGUAACGCGUGGGUAACCUGCCCUGUACACACGGAUAACAUACCGAAAGGUAUGCUAAUACGAGAUAAAGUACUUUUAUCGCAUGGUAGAAGUAUCAAAGCUUUUGCGGUACAGGAUGGACCCGCGUCUGAUUAGCUAGUUGGUAAGGUAACGGCUUACCAAGGCGACGAUCAGUAGCCGACCUGAGAGGGUGAUCGGCCACAUUGGAACUGAGACACGGUCCAAACUCCUACGGGAGGCAGCAGUGGGGAAUAUUGCACAAUGGGCGAAAGCCUGAUGCAGCAACGCCGCGUGAGCGAUGAAGGCCUUCGGGUCGUAAAGCUCUGUCCUCAAGGAAGAUAAUGACGGUACUUGAGGAGGAAGCCCCGGCUAACUACGUGCCAGCAGCCGCGGUAAUACGUAGGGGGCUAGCGUUAUCCGGAAUUACUGGGCGUAAAGGGUGCGUAGGUGGUUUCUUAAGUCAGAGGUGAAAGGCUACGGCUCAACCGUAGUAAGCCUUUGAAACUGGGGAACUUGAGUGCAGGAGAGGAGAGUGGAAUUCCUAGUGUAGCGGUGAAAUGCGUAGAUAUUAGGAGGAACACCAGUUGCGAAGGCGGCUCUCUGGACUGUAACUGACACUGAGGCACGAAAGCGUGGGGAGCAAACAGGAUUAGAUACCCUGGUAGU